AUGGCCGCCGACGGGGACCCAGCCGCGGGCACCGGCCCCGACGUCGAGGCGCACGCGCUGCUCCGCGCGUCCUCCUCCUCCUCCGACGAGGACCCCGAGCAGUGCGCCUUCGAGCCGGCCGAGAAGAUCGUCGUGUCCAUCGCCGCCGACCCCGACGCCGACGAGGAGGACCUCUUCUCCGCCACCGGCCGCGCGCCGCCCUUCUCGUGGCGCAAGCUCUGGCUCUUCACGGGGCCCGGGUUCCUGAUGAGCAUCGCCUUCCUCGACCCGGGCAACCUCGAGGGCGACCUCCAGGCCGGCGCCACCGCCGGCGACACGCUGCUCUGGCUGCUUCUCUGGGCCACGGCCAUGGGGCUGCUCGUCCAGCUGCUCGCCGCGCGCCUCGGGGUGGCCACCGGGAAGAACCUCGCCGAGCUCUGCCGCGACGAGUACCCGGACUGGGUGCGCCGCGCGCUCUGGCUCAUGGCCGAGGUCUCCAUGGUCAGCGCCGACAUCCAGGAGGUCAUCGGGAGCGCCAUUGCCAUCAAGAUCCUCAGCCGCGGAUUCCUGCCCAUUUGGGCCGGCGUUGUCAUCACCGCAUUGGACUGCUUUAUUUUUCUUUCCAUCGAGAACUACGGAGUGAGAAAAUUGGAGGCUCUAUUUGCAGUUCUGAUUGCAAUAAUGGCCUGGUCCUUCGCAUGGAUGUUCAUAGAAACCAAACCCAGUGGGAAAGACCUAAUUGUUGGUCUUCUGGUUCCUAAGCUGAGCUCAAGAACACUAAGGCAAGCAGUAGGGAUCGUGGGAUGUGUCAUCACCCCCCACAAUGUGUUCCUCCAUUCUGCUCUCGUCCAAUCAAGAAAAGUAGACCAGAACAAGGAAUACCAAGUCCGGGAAGCGCUGAGGUACUACAGCAUCGAAUCAACCAUGGCGCUGGUGGUGCCCUUCAUGAUAAACCUAUUUGUCACGACGGUUUUCGCCAAAGGGUUUUACGGCACCGAAGAAGCGCGCACGAUCGGGCUCGAAAACGCCGGACAGUAUCUCCAAGAAAAGUUUGGGGGAGAUUACUUCCCCAUCCUCUCCAUUUGGGGGGUCGGCCUGUUGGCCGCCGGCACAAGCAGCACCAUUACCGGAACCUAUGCCGGACAGUUCAUAAUGGAUGGGUUCCUCAACUGGCGGCUGAAGAAAUGGAUGAGGGCGAUGAUCACCCGAAGCUUUGCGAUCGUGCCGACGAUCGUUGUCGCGCUGUACUUCAACGCGUCUGAAUCAGCGCUGGAUGUUCUGAACGAGUGGCUCAACGUCCUCCAGUCAGUUCAGAUCCCUUUCUCGCUCAUACCGCUGAUAACGUUGGUGUCCAAGGAGCAGGUCAUGGGGGUGUUCAAGAUAGGUCUAACAACACAGAUUGUGACCUGGACGGUUGCGUCGUUGCCGAUCCUGAUCAACGGCUAUCUCUUGUUGGAUUUCUUCUCGUCGGAAAUUAGGGGCGCGGUGUCGGGCUCGUUUCUCUGCGUGGCUGUGGUUGCUUAUGCCGCGUUCCUACUCUAUCUCAUCCUCCGGUGCACGGACCUGCCUAACCAUGUAUUUACACCAGUAAACAACAAGGAUGCUAGCUUCAAAUGA
This 1596-nucleotide ribosomal RNA is filed under the name Triticum aestivum (bread wheat). Its description in RNAcentral is "partial small subunit ribosomal RNA". The record is from RNAcentral. Lineage: Eukaryota; Viridiplantae; Streptophyta; Magnoliopsida; Poales; Poaceae.